CUUUUCCUAAUAGAGUGAUUUAAGCCUUCAUUUUUAGACAUCUAAGCCCUUGGUGAUCAUCAGCAUAAAAUGUGACAAAUUAAACAAAAGCAAGACAGCACAUCAGAGAACAACUCUGAGGUGGAAUGAUUGGGAACCAAUGAAUAGUUGUUCAGUAAAUGGUUUAUAUUUUACAGAUGAUGAAACUGAAACACAAAAAAUUUAGAUUAACUCUUAGGUGACAAAGCCAGGAUUGAAGCUCAUGCGGUCUGGCUCCAGAACAACUCUUCUUCAUAGUUACGUUAUACUGCCCCUGCAUUGUUGGUAUUGAAAAUAACUGAUACCGUGCUUCCAGAAGAUUUUUCUAACAGUGUUUGCAAGCUAUAAAAUAGUGCUUUCACUUAGAAAAGGCUAGACGUGGUGGUUCAUGCCUGUAAUCCCAGCACUUUGAGAGGCCGAGGCACCAUGCUGGGAGAUAAGGAUCCAACAUAAGACAAACAGUGCUGAUGCUUUUGGAAAGCUCAUAUUCAAGCUGGGGAGACAAACAACAUACAAGUGGCUGUAGCUACCUUCUGCAUAUGGAUAUCCAGUUUUCCCAGCACCACUUAUUAAAGAGACUGUCUUUUCUGCAGUGUAUAUUCUUGGCACCGUUGUUGAAAAUGAAUUCAUUGUAGGUGUG
RNAcentral lists this long non-coding RNA (658 nucleotides) under Homo sapiens (human). RNAcentral describes it as "non-protein coding CCDC18-AS1:71". The record is from RNAcentral. Lineage: Eukaryota; Metazoa; Chordata; Mammalia; Primates; Hominidae.